AUGGCUAUGCAGAUAGAGGAACUCCGGAUUGAAUCAUCGGACUUGAGAAGAAUUACCAACGAUUUUUCAGACGCCAAGAAAAUUGGAUGUGGUGGCUAUGGAGACGUUUACAAGGCAGACUACAACGGGGAAGAGAUAGCAGUGAAGUUGCUUGAUCCGACCAAAGGAAUUGACGACCAACAAUUUAUGAAGGAACUCUAUAACCACAUGGAAGUCAAACAUCGAAACAUUGUACGGCUGGUCGGGUAUUGCAAUGAAGAAAUCAAGAAAUACGUUGAGCAAAAGGUUGGCCCUCCUGUUUUUGGUAAACACAUAUACAAAGUGCUAUGCUUUGAAUAUAUGCGGCGUGGAAGCCUCGACAAGCAUCUCUCUGAAAAUUCUCUGGGAGAUGACUGGCGCACACAUUAUCAAAUAAUAAAGGGGACUUGUGAAGGCUUAUGGUAUCUUCACAAUGGGUUGGAACAUCGGAUCCUCCACCUGGAUCUAAAGCCUGGCAAUAUAUUACUUGACGAUUAUAUGGAACCGAAGAUUGCAGAUUUCGGAUUGUCAAGGAUUUACACUUCAAGCCGCAGCAAUACCAGAGUUAAGUUAGUUUCAGGAACAACGAAGUACAUGCCACCUGAAUUAAGACGUGGGAGUGAGAUAUCAGAGAAGACUGAUACCUACGGUUUAGGUGUUACAAUCAUAGAUGUAAUUAGGGGAUCGGUUGGUUUUGAACUUUAUCACGAGCUGGAGGCCACAAGAUUUGUUGAAAAUGUACGUACAUAUUGGGGACAGAGAGAUGGUACAGCACAUUUAGAUCAAGUAGAGGAAUGCACCAAGAUUGCAAUACGAUGUAUCCGUCAUGACAGAAGGAAUAGGCCCACGAUUAAGGAGAUUGUUGCGGACUUGAAUGCUACGGAAACUCCGAUUUUGGCCGAGGGUCCCCGUGCCUUAACAAUCAGUUCGUCACGCGGGAAGCUCGGCUCCCUCCAUGUUCCAGACAAGCUUUCUAGUUCCACUUCAGGAAGGGGGCCAUUGGACGUGGUGAUUGUGUAUGCCUUUGACUGCUAUCUGCAUACCCCAGCCUGGUACACGAUGAACGAUUGGGUUUUUUGGUUGGUGCAAGAGAAGCUCACCCACUUCGUUGACAGCUGUCUUGGUUACGUCAUGUUGACCCCUAACGAGUGCAUAUCAGGCAUGAAGUUAGUUGAAUCAGCCGACACAAAGGCAAGUGGCUACACAGACUACGACCGCAGGAGCACCAAAAGGAAAACCAUGGCAUCAGGCCUCGAAGAGGCGCAUAACAUAAUCAGCAACCGCGGGCACCACAACAGCAUCAUAUUGUUCUUCUCUGAUGGAUUGGUAAACAAUGAAUACUUCUUUCAUGGGAACGAGAACUUCAUCUCCCAAGUACCUGUCCACACAUUUACUCUUGGCGGGAACGCAUAUAACCAUAUCCUCCACUCCAUCGCAGCAAAUUCUCCGGGCGGGAAGUUUCACAGCACCUCAAUUCCAGAAAGGCCAAAUGUGUCAACAGCCUUCUCGAGGCUAUUGGAUAAACUCCUUGGCGACGCCUCGAAGGAUGAUGGGAAGCCUCCUAGUACCUUUUCAGGAAGGGGUCCACUAGACGUGGUGAUUGUGUUUGCCUUUGAUCGCACUAAUUCAACAGCCCAAACACGGUACACGGUGGCUCAUGGGGUCUUUUGGUUGUUGCAAGAGAAGCUCACCCGUUUUGUUGACAGUUGCCUUGGUUAUAUAUACGUCAUGUCAACCCCUAAGACAUACACAUACACGUUGGACAUGAAAUUAGUUUACUCGAAGGAGAAAAAGGAUGCUCCCUACACAGUGUUCAAUGAGCGCACGAGAACCUGCACGAAAAACAUGGCAUCGGGCCUCGCCGAGGCGCAUAAUAUGAUCAAAAACCGUGGGCACCACAAUGGUAUCAUCUUCUUGUUUUCCGAUGGAUUGAUAAAUAAGGGAGACUUCUUUGAUGGAACCGACAACUACGUUUCCGAAGUGCCUGUCCACACGUUUACUCUCGGCGGGGACACAUAUAACCAUGGUCUCCAAGCCAUUUCGGCAAAUUCUCCUGGUGGGACGUUCAACUCCAUUCCAGUUCCAGAGAAACCGCUUCUAUCAGAGCCCUUCUCAACACUGCUGGAUGGCCUCCUUAGCCGCACCAUUGUGGACUGA
RNAcentral lists this ribosomal RNA (2175 nucleotides) under Triticum aestivum (bread wheat). RNAcentral describes it as "partial small subunit ribosomal RNA". Lineage: Eukaryota; Viridiplantae; Streptophyta; Magnoliopsida; Poales; Poaceae. The record is from RNAcentral.